RNAcentral lists this ribosomal RNA (3483 nucleotides) under Triticum aestivum (bread wheat). RNAcentral's name for it is "partial small subunit ribosomal RNA". Lineage: Eukaryota; Viridiplantae; Streptophyta; Magnoliopsida; Poales; Poaceae. The record is from RNAcentral.
AUGGAUUCCGACGUCGUCGCUAUCUCUCGAGAAUCAAACUCCUCAUCUGAUGCCAUCCGGCUCAUGGUACAGAGCAUCGACGGCAAGAUGACCGUGGUCGUGGCGGGUCCACAGGACACUUUAGGGGAGGUGCUCGGUCGCUUCGUGGACAUGGGACCCAGGAGGAGAAGCGACCUCCACGCCGUGCACGAGUGUCGGAACCUCCACCUUAAGGCGAAAAUCGGCGAGCUCGGCCUCCCGCGCGACGCCACUUUGCACUUAACCAGAUAUCCCGACGCAUGGAGCCUUGCAUCUCAGAUUGCCGUGGAGGCAACAACCGACGCAGACAUCUCUAACGAAACUGCCGAGUUGUUCAAGAGGGACAUCGUCCUGCUCGUCAAGAAGUUCCUCGCCGGCGCCAAAGCCACCAACGAGAGACAAGCAGGGACGGCCGUGGAGUACCUCGAUGUCCUCCUGCGCAGCGGUGUCAUCGGGGUUCUGGUCCGCCUCUACUCCACCGGCUCUAUGCCGCAUCACUUAAGAGCCAAUUCGGCGAUCAUCUGCCUCCUGUAUCCGGAGAUAAGCGGCAUACUCCCUCGCCUUGAGGUGUGCUUUCUCCCACUCUUGUUGGAGUUCUGUCGGUUGAUACCCGCCGCCUCCGGCAAAGGCAGAAGCAACCCGCUCUACGAGAAGUGUAGGCACAGGCUGGCGGCAGUGCUCUCUUUGUUCGAGCAGACGUCGUCGCUACGCAUGCCGAAGAUGGCUCAAGAGUGGUUGAUCGAGCAGUUAAUACCAAUUGCCAAAGACGCGACGGACGUGAUCAUUCGCUACAUGGCAGCAGGGUGGGCGGCCCCGGAUGAUAAGCUCUUUGUGUUCAGAAUAUUCUUUGCACUGAUGUGCUACUUCCGGCGCCGAGAGGUUUACGCACAGCGCACUGACAGUCCUGUGGGAGCGGUGAUGUCCCGGACGGCGAUGUCCCUGCUGAUUUCGGUCGAUGCAUUCAUGAGGAGGUUGGAGGGAGCCUUGCCGUCGAGCGAGCGGAGGUCAAGUUUGGCGACCAAGGAGCAACACCAGCAGGACGCGACUCACAGCAUCUUGCCGGGUUUGGCGACCUUGGAGCAGCACCAGCAGGAUACGGUUGACGGCAUCUGGGUGGUGCUAGGCCAACUGGAUAUGUGGUCCUUGACGGACCGCCACUUGGUCGGCGCCAUCCGGGCCACCUGCACGGCGCAGAAUGCGCUCGUGCUCGGCACCAGCGCCGAUAGGAGCCGGUGCAAGGACAUCGGCCGGAUUGUCGUCAAGCACAAGGACCUCCUCGGGUUCGACCGACGUGCGGAUGCAUUUCGCCAGAGCGAUGCUGCCGGAAAUGGACGCAACGUGUCAGCGUUCAUGCUGUUAGACGAUGAGCCUCAUGCGCUCGAGAUGCUCAUUGAUCGGUCGCAGCUGCUGCCCGACUCCUUCAGAUAUGUCUCCGAGGCGGCGAGCCACGUGCUCCAUGGUCGCAUGUUCGUGCUUCAGGAUGAGGAGGCCAUUGGCGAGGGGGUAGCAAGGGAGUGGAUCUCCCUGGUGUGCCGUGCGCUGUUUGACCCGCGGCAUGGCCUCUUCUCGUCCUGUCCGCGUGACCGGCGAAGGUUCUUCCGAUGGUCGUCACGCACGCACGCAAGACGCAAGCACGUGCGUGCCACGGCAAACAGCAAACGUGUGAGCAGGAGCGGUGUCGUCCCUGGGCAGGACCCCCUCCCUCGCAAUGACGCGUGCCUGCGAUGCCAACCAAAACGCGAAAAAAAAAGAAUAUGCGUCCGCUGGGAGUGGGGCCCAAUCCACACACGUUUUCUCUCCCUCUUCGUCGCCGUACGUCUAUCGUCUUCCUCCAUCCAUCCAGCACCCACCCAAUUUCGCGACUCGCCCAACCUCUCCCGCCCGCCCACGUUCGCCGCCGGCCGGGAAUCUUUCCUACCUCGCCGACGACCUCCUACGUCAAAAAACAUGACUUUUUUUCUUCUUCUGCUUCUUUUGUCUGGAACACAUAAUUUCGGCUCCGGCGAUGCACCGCCGCCCUCCUGUCUGCGCUGCGCUGCACGCACCAAGAGUGUUCGGCCGAAUGCUAGCUCCUCCGAUCCUGACCUGAGCUAUGCAUGCAUGGUUCUCCACGCCGACGGCGUGGACAGCGGCUAUGCUCCUGCUCCGCGGUCCGCGCUGAGGAAGCAGCUACUCGCACGCCCAAGGAACACUGCGCGCCCUUUGCCGUCUGUCAUCCCCGCUUCCGGUCGGCGUGGCUCCACCGUGGCUCCUGAAGCUGCCUCAUCCGGUGUGAUCCGUGUGGCGUCCUCGAGCCUCACAUACCCUACCCGCCGUCCCUGUCAACGCCCGUACGAUCUCUCUCUCUCUCAAGUCUCAACCCCCCGCCGUCUUCGUCUCCGUCCGAAGCCCACGUCUUUCAUCUUUCUCCAAGCUAGUUCCCUUCCCAUGUCUUCUCUCCCCGACCGGCACCCAGGCACGGGCGAGCUCCCCGGCCGGACGGGUGUGCUCUCUCGUCUCUCGUCUCUCGUCACUUGCAUGUUUGGCCGAACGGUGCUCGAUCCACGCCGUGGACGGCGGCCAUGCAUGCUCCGGCUCGGGGACGCCGGCGCUGAGGAAGCAGAUCUUUGGCAUCGUGCACGUCGUGUCGAGCAACGUGGGUGCAUGCCAAGCAGCCGUACGUCGUCCCUCCCGGCGAGCACGGCGCCGUCAAAGAUGCCUACUCGAUCGACGCGUGCGCGUCGUCCCAGCCGAAGAACGUACUACCACGCACGGGUAGCCCGUAGCGGUGGCGUGGGAUCGAUGGAGCUAGGCUGCCUGCGACGUACGCCCGACCAGGAACCAGCAGGACAGGACAACAUGUACCGCUGCCAGGAGAGGCCGAUCUUCCAACGCCGUUCUCCGGCGGCUCCCCUCCGUCGGCGACCUCGGUCGUCGAUGGUGAGGGGGUCGCCGGAUCCACGCGUGUGGACCGAUUUUACUCCCUCAUUCUUAGGAUUCUUCCCUGACGAGGCCAUUGGUUCUAUGGUUGGGGAUGUAUUUGGAAACCAGUCUAUUCAAGCAAGGAUGGCGUGGCGGCGGCGGCAUCCUCGUGGUGGACCUGUGUCCUCGCGCUCCGUUGUUGCGAUGGCGUUUGCUCCAGCGUCGGCGCGGAGCUUGGGAGGUGUGGUUUCCUCCUUCGGCGUCUUAGUCGUGGUGGGGUGCCAGAUCUGGAGUUCGAUGGCGUGUCCAGAGUGUUGCCCUGGUCUGAUUCAUUCAACGACAAGGGCUUCAUUUUUUGGUGAGUCAUCUUGGAGGUUCGCAAAGCUGCAUAUUAGCGAUGGAGCCGCGUCGAGCUCGGGUGAGGCGGUGAUUCGUCAUUCUUUUCUUCGGUGGCUGCUGUGGUGGUGCCGGGGUCAGGUGACGGCCGUUGGUGUCAAGCUCAGAGAUGUUCUGCUAUCUUUUCAGUUUUGUCAUAUCGGUUUUUACGUGACUAGUUCUUUAUGA